GUCUCAGAUUUUCCACAUAAUCAACUGAAAGUAUUUCAGUUCCGUAGAAGUUACAGUCGGCUGUUUUUAAGAGAAGCUCGUACUGUUGCACCUGUCAAUCAAACCAGCGUUCGCGCCUCAGGAAACUACCUGCAUGCCAAACUGCCUCGUAAAAAUAACCGAACUCACUUGGUGCCACAACGACGCGUCAUGGUUUUUAGUUCCACCCUCCGUCCAGGUGCCGCUGUUCUCGAGGAAAUACCUGCCGAAACAAUUACCCGCAAGUCCUUGCAAUGUGACGUAAGGUCAAGUAAAGGGGAACAAGGAAGACGGAACGUGUGUUCAGGCUGUCAUAUUAAAAAGCGUAUAAAUUUAAAACGUCGAGGAUUAAAGAAAAAACAUGAAAUCACACGAUAUUAAUUUAUUCAUUCAUUAAAUUAAAAUUAAAGAAAACAUUUUCUUCACAGGAAUUUUGACAAAGGACCUUUCAUUUCAUGGAGAAAGAGCCUGGAAGACGUUCGUAUCAACGGGUAGAAGGUAUUCAUUGCAUAGACCCUCACUGUCAGGUGAGUCCCUGAGGGGUCAGGGGUCAGGGUGCAGAUCGGGAUUGGGCCCUAAUGUCAUGACAGCGUUGCUCUCGCCCGCUCACUUUUGAGCUAAAAUGCCCGGCCGUGGCUAUAAAAGGUUUGCUUCCACUGAGCCUGUGACACUCAAAGCGAGCCCACGGCUCCUGACUGACACCGGUACCGGAUUAGCGCGGUUUAGACGGGGGAAAGAGGAAACACGGAGAGAGUUCCGACGAUUUAACGACGAAACACCCGACACUGACGGGGAUCACCGAACACAGAAGAAACGUCCACAGGAGAAACGGGUACGUGAAGCUCAGAGGAGAAACCGCUUCGCCAAAACCUCCACCGGGUUUUUCCUUGUGUGGAAAUAUGAACACGUUUCCGGCCUGUCUGUUCUGUAACAGGCCCACUAGAUGUCCCCCUUGCUUCGUGUUACACCUCCGUACUGGUCCCGCUGGGGACACUAUGGAGGACGUUGGUCUGCAGAUGCUUGUGCCCUCAUUUCAAAGCGUGCACCUCUAUCUGGAGUGUGUGUGUGUGUGUGUGUGUGUUAGUGGUUGUAAGCAACCCUUUGUGUACUUGCAUUACGGCACGGCCCGGUUGGGAUCGCACCGUUUGCAGCUGGUUAACGGCGUCUACAGAGCUGAGUUUCCGGGGAGCGGAGAAAGUAAUCAAGGCCAGUUUCCAGGCGGUCGCCUCCUCCUCCCGGGGUCCACGCCGCCGGUCCCAGGUGUCGGCGAGUCGUGCUAUUACCGCGGGGCAAUGAGCUGCAGACAGCCACAAUGAUUUGGGGUGAACGCAGGCUGACCCACACGCUCGCGUUCAAGCUCGGACUGAAAGACACAAAGACGCAGAGCGAGCAGGAGACACGCGGGUUCAUCGUGCAAGCGAGUCAUCCGUGAGCUUGUGACAGAAAUAUCGGCCGUAUCCCUCUCGGCACGGAGCACAGUCCUCUAGUAUUUUCAUCCUAUUAAACCUGUGAGAACUGCAUUCAGCCUUUUUGUGCGGCUGAGUGUUGUGUUUCUAAUUCGUGGCUUGAUUAUGUCGGAAGGCAUUAUGUGCACUCAGAGAGCCAUUGUUCCGCAGCGCAAAUCUUGAUCCUUGCUGAGAAUCCGGCAGCUCGAGAGGGGAUGAGAUUAGUGCAGAUUGGCUAUUGUGAACAUCAAGCUCUUAUUUCCUUAACAUCUCGUGUGUGUGUGUGUGUGUGUGAGUGUGAGUGUGUGUGUGUGGGGGGCGGGCUCAAAGGCAUGUAGUUUUCCUCCAGGCAGGUGUAGUCUGGCAAGGCUUGUUAAACCUGAAACGGUUGAUCAAAUGCUCAGCUCCUCGUGCUUCUGAGAGCUCGUGGAUGUCGCUGUGCUGAUAGAACGGGCUUUGUAGCGCCUAUCGGCGCCGGCCUCCCUUCGUCGCCCGCCCGGGUCGGCCGUCUGUCAGGAAAAAAUGGUUUUGUAUGAUUUCUUUAAAAAGAGCCAAUGUAAAGAAAAGGCAGCCUUUAACUGGAGUAAUCCAUCUUGCGCCAACGGUGUCAGAGUGAUUCACGGUUUCCAAUUUAGCCGCGGUUCGGAUCUAAAGUAAAUCAGGCAGGACGGCUCCUCCCUUUUGUGCAGCCGGACGACAAACCCUCAGUGACAAGAGCUCUCAAAUGAACAUAUCCGCCACAUCCAUCUUGUUCAUUUAUUGCAUCAGACGUGCCACUGCUUGUCCUACAUAGAUCAGCAAGCAAAGACCUCCUGGCUUUGUGAGUAUCUUGCAGAGAAGGUGAGGCUUUAAAGCUGUCGUCUAGUAGAAUGUUGGAUAAAAGGGGGAGGACCCAGAUUUAAAGUCUGUGUUUAAUCAUGUCUGCUUUGAUUAUCCGAGGCGGAAGCUGAAAAAGAGCUCAAAUCGGAAUGCUUGAUUACAUUUGAACCACAAUAACCUCAUUAGUUCAUAAUCGGUCAGUGUUUAUGUCAUGGUUAUUUUUGGAUUUUUCAAAAAUCAGUCCAAGGCUGUACAUGCGUACAAGCCAGUUCCUUUAAUUGCCUCAGUUUCCUGAGAAAAACCCUUCACCUAAUGCACUUGAGUAGCAAUUUGUCUGUCCAGCACUGCAGGGCACCUUAUGGAAAGAGCUUCAUGAAUAUUCGGGUCAAAUGGAACAGGGAAGCGCCUUCUGCCAUUCAUUCAGUUCAUUCAAAACACAUGUUUGUCCUCUGGGUAAUCUCACCCUUUAACUGUCCCACAACCGUGCAAACGCUUUGCUUCUCCGCCUGAAAUAUGUGUGCUCCAGCCGGCCAUAUAUCAUAUAAAGACGGCCGCGUGCAGGUGCGACGGAUCCCGAUGCAGCUCCGGCCCCUCGCAGGUGUGACCUCGGCACGAGGCGCCGGCCUCGUCCGGGAGCAGCAACAAAGCCACGAUUAAUUGUUCCUGUCGGUUUGGGUCACACAGGCCGACGUGUUAUUCUGCAUGUUACUCACAUCCGUCCCAACAAAGGCGCACACGCACAACAUGCACGAGGCACGCGGAGGCGUGUCCAUUGCAAGGACACGUGGUCUCACACACACACACACACAAAAAAGGCUUUUGCACAGACAAAAACCCGCUCCCGCAGCCCGGCGGCCUCGUGCGGUAUUCAUUACCGUCCAUGUCAGGAUCCACAACGAGAAGUGAUGGCUGGACCUCCCGCCGGUCUGCACUGUUCAAAGCCGAGCUCCUCUCCCCCGGACGGGAAGGGAGGCCGGGAUGAUUGAUGCACGCUCUGCCGGGAUCUCGGAGAGAAAGCACCGGUUUCUGUUUCUGGUGAAGCGCUUCGCUCACGUCGUGGGGGAAUUGUUCUGUGGUUUCUUGUCUCCUCUUGCAUUCUUCCAUAUUCUUUGCUGAUGGGGUUAGCCUCAGCCAGGACCUUGAUGACGCUUCCUGCUGCUGAAGGACGCGGAUGCCGCUCAUCUCGAUCCAGCGAUUCCCUCACUCUCGGCGAUGGUUGUGUCAUGAAAGCCUGCGUGGGGGUUCGUAGCUGGUUGUUAAUGAUCUAAUGCUUCAACAGAUCCGGACUGCUGUUGUGAUAUACAGUGAGGACUAUACUGCCACACAGCACUCCACCGUGGUCGCCGAAUGGGGAAACAUCAUGUCCGACCUGUACGGCAGAGACUCCUGCGGGCCCUUUAACUCUGCUGCACGAGAGUGUGUGUGUGUGCUUGAAAGUAAUGCUUGAAGUGUGUUUACAGUCCUGAUAAUAAUAUACUCCUUCCCGGACCCGUCCACUGGGCUCCCUCCUAUAAUUAUAAGACCAACGCUGAAGAGGAAACCCCCCCCCUCCCCUUAUUGGUAAAAGGCUCAAGUGUUUAAGAGGUGUUGGAAAAAGAAAUAAUCGCAGAUGAGGGCAGAUUUUUCCAUCUUUCUCAGUGUUCUUUCCUUUGCCGGUCCGUAGCCACGGGGUCGUGGCGGGGUGUUGACAGCUCUUGUGCUCCACUGUGCAUGUGUGGGCAUUAGUUUGCUGUCAGUAGAGCCACAUGGGGCGGCUGUUGCCAUUAGCUGUUAGAUUUCUGAUUCACACCCGGUGGGAGUCAGUUGUCGGGAGACAAGCUGCCAACUGGCCGGGCUGUUUAUUGUAACGUCGGCCUCAAGCCCCUUUUUUUUUUUGGUCUUGUGUCACUGAUUCUGCAUCCACACUUUCCUUUUGGCUUUUGUAUCCAAACGGGAAGAAUACACUAAAAGUUGCAGCCAACGAUUGAUUACUCUGAUGUUCCAAAUAUAUACAAAGAGCCUAAGGGGACAUGCUCAAACGUCUUGUUUUGAUGAAGUAAUCAACAGUUCAAGCGCCACAAAUAUUCAUGUACAUUAAAUUAAAACUGAGAAAAGCUGUCAUUAGAAUAUGAGAAUAUUUGCUAUAUAUAUAUAUAUAUAUAUAUUCAAAUUCAAAACGAAUAAAUACAUGAGACAAUCGACUCGUUUGUAGGCGUUUGUAGGGUUGGUUACCAUGCAGGCGGUUGUAGGGUUGUUUACCAUGUAAGCGGUUGUAGGGUUGGUUACCAUGCAGGCGGUUGUAGGAUUGGUUACCAUGCCGGCGGUUUUAGGGUUGGUUACCAUGCCGGCGGUUGUAGGGUUGGUUACCAUGCAGGCGGUUGUAGGGUUGUUUACCAUGUAAGCGGUUGUAGGGUUGGUUACCAUGCAAGCGGUUGUAGGGUUGGUUACCAUGCAAGCGGUUGUAGGGUUGGUUACCAUGCAGGCGGUUGUAGGGUUGGUUACCAUGCAGGCGGUUGUAGGGUUGGUUACCAUGCAGGCGGUUGUAGGGUUGGUUACCAUGCAGGCGGUUGUAGGGUUGGUUACCAUGCAGGCGGUUGUAGGGUUGGUUACCAUGCAGGCGGUUGUAGGGUUGGUUACCAUGCCAUGUGUCAUUUUGAUGAGCUCUAAAUCACUUACAUCUUCUACGGAGGAAAAGGCCUAAGCCGCUGAGAGAGAACUAUGCGUUUUGUUGGAUUAUUUCCCAACGGUUUGAAGAGCUUUUAACCCCACAGCCAGCUUUGUUUUGCUCUCCUCAGCGAUGUGUAAAAACUGUAAUUCUUCCUUAUCAUGACCCAAACAUGCAGCCAUUCAUCCAGCUGGCGCCAGUUUUUAUUUGCUCGGCUCCAGUUCGCUUGUCAGCCUCAUGCCAUGAAUACCUGAAAUGGAAUUCUGAGUGGUUAAACACAGGUACUAAUUCACAGUUUCUUUCCCUAAUGAAAAUGAUUACCAUACAAAACAUGCACAUUAUGUUGUUUUUAGCUCUGGGGCUUAAUAGGGUGAUCAUUUCUUGUCAUUUCAUUGCCAAGAACUUUAAUGGAAUUUCCGGGUAAUUGCAAAAAUACUAAUGGAAAUCACAUAUUUUGCAAUGUAAAAUUGCAGAAAGCAAAUACUAUGAAGGCGGAUAAAUCACCAAUAGUAAUAGUAUCGCUAAUAUUAAUGAGAAUCAAAAGAGAAUUGCACAUUAGUGCGCCUCUACGCAGUAAGCGUUCACGACCCGGAAUAAAGAGAGUGAAUAACACGAGCACAGAGAUUUUAGUCAUCAAAUAACCAAAAAUGAACUGAUGCUCAGCAAAGCAGUGUCAACAAUAAACAACCAGGCAGACAGUCAAGAUUUCCUGUAUAGUGAGAAACAUUUCAAUUACACUGUACAUGGAAAGGGCAUCUCUGCAGCAGGAUUGAUAUGUCAUUCUAACAAGUUCCAAUUAAAAAGGGAGAAUGCCUCCAUUAUUAUUUUAUUAAAAGACCUGUGUCUCAGGCCGCUUUGAAAGAGAGGCACAUUUCCGGUUACAGGUGAGAGUCCGUCAGGCGUGAAAUGAGUACAGCACACGUGAAACAAUCCUCAUGUCCCGGUGGACGCCGUCAUUUAGCUUUACAAUUAUAUUGAACUACCGUGUGUGUGUGUGUGUGUGUGUGUGUGUUUAUUUCUCUGAUCCAUUUUAGUCGUUCAUAUAUUCAACAUCAUGCAUUUGCCUUCUUUUUCUAAGGCCCUCUCACUCAAAACUCUAAAAAUAUCAGAAAAUUGAUUAAUUGGAAGAAACAUUUCACAAAUGUUUGUCACAUUUUUCAAUUUAUCUUGAGUGUUUUUUUCGACUGAACGAUUUAGUGGAUAAACCAACCCGGUGCUCCACACGCCGCUCGGUAGUGAAAACAGUCAUUUUGCACCUCGCAAAAAUAAACUCACACAUGAGCUACAGUAUGAAGAAAAACAAAGAUUCCUCAUGCGCCGCAUGGCGCUUCUUUCAGAAUGCUGGUGGAGUCUGAGAGCGGCGCUCUGUGACCUUAUUGACAAACAGUCCAACGCGCUCUUCUCUAGUCACAAGGAGAGAACAUGGCAGCAGUUCAUGUGGAAAUUAACUUUGCCCGAGCAGCCGCAGCGUAACUGGCGUGCCAUGAAAGGAAUACUCAUGCAAACAGAAACGGCCUGCGGGGGUCUCCGCCUUGACCCCGUUCAAACUUCGCGGGAGGCGAUGAAAGCUCCUUGUGGCUUCUCCUCUUCUCGAAUAUGGUGGAAAUGAUGGAAUACAUUAAUGCCGGUGGAGGACUGUGACCUGACACAUGCAUCGGGGGGGGCAAUGAAUACGAGGCGCUUCUGAGCGCCGAAAAGCUCGAGACGGAUAAAUACAAAAAAAACAAAACAAAAAGCAGAUUCUGAAUGUGUGCCUCCUCCUCCAGCUCCUCCGUUGGAGCUAAUUAUGGCGUGUAAGCAGCAGCCUGGGGAUAAGCCACAUACCAAUACUCCAAACUGUCUGUUACCCCUCACAGCUUGAACCUGCGUAACGCGGCUUAUCAGCAUCUUCUCCGGCUUCCAGCUCCCCGUCUCUUUCCCAAAGAGCCUAAUUGCCUUGAUACGCGCAUCACGUACAGCGUGAAAUGUUGAUUCCACCUUAAUUAUCUUCCCCAAGGGGUCAACGCUGCGACUUCCGCGAAGAAAAAGAAAGCAGCGCUGCGUCCACGCGAGGGAGCUUUGCGGUGUUCGUUACCCGCCGAGCCGCUUCAGGCAUUUAGCCCGGAUGACGCGGUGAUUUAAAAAAGCCACCGUGACACAUUUCAACAAUCACCUUUUAAUCUCUUAGAUCUCCCUCAUUUAAAAUGUCACGGCCGACGUUUAAGUGCCGGUCGUUUGCCGACAGGCAGCGAGGCAGUCUUAUCAGAUGAAAUGUGAAAUAAGUGAUGGGAGGUAAUUGAGAGAGCGAGAAGGGCCGGUGUCAUCGACCGCGUCCGUGUGACCGCGUGGUAUCUCUGGUACCUUCGUGUGUAACUGUGGCUUAUAGAGGAAGAGAUAUUUUCAAAAUAUUAAAAAAAACAACCCUCAAUGACGAUCUCUGCACUGUGAGCAAUAGUUCAAAGCGUUUUCACAUUAUUAAAUACGUUAAAAGUAAUUGUUUAAAGAGUCAAAUGAUUGCUUUUACUCUGAAUAGAUGGAUUCACAGCAACUAUGUAGCUGCAGCAAGAAGCCAGUUAGCUUAGCGUAGCAUAAUGAAUGGAUCAUGUGUGUAUUUUAUAUAUUCUAGAGUCCACUGCUUAAGAAACUCACUAUUUUGUGUUUCUGAGCUAAAAAGCAAACGCAGCGGGAAGCACUGAUUGUCAGCUACUAGAGUUCCAGUCGCUCUCUCACUGCUCGGCGGGUCGGCGGCUCUGAAACACCGCGGAGACCACUGAAUCAAGGGGACCUAACCCACCUGCUGACUGGUGCUACUUCCCAAACCGGGAGGGAGAGCGGGGGACAAAUGUGGCCCCGAGACAGAGGGUCUGUCACAGUGCAGCCGACGCCAGGCAGGUUUCACCGGUCGAUGUCCCCCGGAGAAGAGAAGGACGACGUUGCCAUCACUGCCUGCGAGUUUAUCAUCCGCCAACAGGGGUCACUCUGUGUUCAGCAAAAAAAGAAGAAGAAGAAGAGAGCGGCGGCUGCUGGGGAGGAGAAGGUGAGGAGAAGCGGGAGGAAAGUGUGAUCCGGAUGAAGGUGUUGGGCGGUCAAAGGAGGGAAAGGACACGGGAGAUGAGCGUGGACAUUUUGGGGGAGGACAGAUGAAGGAAACAGUCAGGUGGACGGGGUGCAGAAAGCCGGGUAACCCGCGGCGAUGGGAAACAAGAAGCUCCUCCACCGUUUCUGCUCCUGGAGAAGUGGUCGGUGAACCAACCGGAAAGUUCCGAAAGUCCCACUCGGGAGGCGGGACCGUGGGAGGGAAAAGGGACGGAUCAGGCUGUUUUCAUUGCUUGGCAACCGCAUCCAACGGCCCCUGUCUGCUCAUCAAUCAUUCACAGUACACUCCUAUUCCCCAGCAAGCUGCCCCCCCCACACCUCCCCCCGCACUCCCCUCAUCCUCUCUUUUCUCCUUCCAAAUUCUCUCGCUCACGUCCCCAUUCUCCUUCCACUGUGUCUGUUCUGCGCUGUCGGUCCUCAGAGCCUCGGAGCACAAGUUGAGAUACAUUAAAGAUGAACGGCCUCGGAUCCUCCCGCUGGAUCCCGUCUCUAGUUUUUUUGGAGGGGAGCCUGUUUCGUUCUGCGUGUUAGUUAAGACCUAAUGGGACGUGAGAGUAGAAACAGUGAUUUCAAGGUAACCCUCCUCCCUCACAAUUAGUGCGAGCUUAAGCGUAUACGGACAAACGAUUUUAUUUUCAAUUGAACAGCCAUGAAAACACGUCGUUGGAGAGCUGCAGGUAGUUGAGGAGAAAAGUGGAAUAGAAUAGAGUCAUGUGGGUAGAAACUCCCGGCUCCCCGAGACAAAAGCAAGUUCAUGCCUCCAUAUAUUGUGUCCAAAUAUUGUACUUCAUGAGGUACAUGAGGUCACUUGGCCAGCAGGCGACGUGGGUGAAUACCUACAAUAUCUGCACAGCCUGCUAUAUAUAUUAUAUUUGUGUGAUGUACAGUAGUUCAACACUUAAUACAAUUGAGAUUUAGAAUGUGUACAGAUUAAUUUAUCUGAUGCAAAUGAAAAGCCAGCUCAUUUGUUUUAAUGGGUGAUGCAUUUUUAAAACACUUGCUGUUUAAAUCACAGUGGAUCCCUUUUUGCUUCUUUUUUUUUUUUUUACGCAUUUCAACAUCAUUUUUCAGCUUGGUCAUACAACGAGUUAAUGUAUCUGGUGCCCUGAGAGAUUGGAGAACCAUUUCAACGUUCCAUUCUAUCUCUUCUGCAUGUUCCCUGCUGCUCUCUCCCUUUUCUAACAGAUGUUUGAGUGUCUGUGUUGCAUUCUGGGUGAUUAACCCUGGAUUUCGUUCGACUAAAUUUGGAUGCUCCAGAUUCUCGUUAUCUCUGUUGUGAGAUCUGAGUGCUCACGCGCAACACGGAGGUGCUUCCUUAUCUAUUUUUGAUAUCUGCCAGGGGAAGAGAAAGUAUUCAGGCCCUUAACAUCAGUAAAAGUACUUAUCCCGCUGAGUACUGUAGAAGUACUCCGUUACUAAAAAAAUAUCCUGCAUUGAAAAUGUUCCUUCAGUAAAAAGUAGGUAAGAUAUUCAUGAAAAUGUACUUAAAUUGAAAUACUCUAAGUAGAGAAAUGUCCUGUCACUAAUAAACUUCUAUAUAUUAUAUUGCUAGACUCCUUUUACUCAUUGAUUAAAGGUAUGAGGGGUCAUAGAGUUGGAGAUGGAGUUAACUUUCAUAGUCAUCUGUACUUCUCAAGAGGGCAGUCGAGUUAAAAUACAGCUUAUGGAUUGAUAAUCACAUCGUCUUACGGCCAAAACUCACUGAACUGGCAAAGUAAAGGGAAAUAAAACCUCCCCUUUGUACAGACAUAACCGUGCAUCAUGUAACUCUUUGCUAUUCUGUGCCGAUUUGUGGAGCUGUGACGUCACUGCUGCCGGUGGCCGUAGUUCUCUGGUCCUCUUUAGAGUCGCGUACGUUCAGCUGCACAGCGCGGAGGAGCCUUUGCCCUUUGCCCUUUGCCCUCUGCUUCCCUGCAGCAUAAACCGGUCCAGCUUCAGGUUUCCAUUAGGAAUCCACCUCUGUCUCCACCUGGUGGACGCACUGUGGUCCUGCACAUGUGAUGAAGGCGUUGGUCUUCAGUACAGAACCAAAAGGUCCAAAAUGAGAUGUUUCAUGGUUUUCUUUAAAUGGGAAUAUGUCUAGAUGUCUGAUUGAUAAACGUUUCCAAACAAGGCCAAAAUAAAUCACGAAUUACUACAUUGACAUGAAAUAAAUGUAACGCAGAUUGAAAAUGAAGAUAAUGAAUGAGCUUCUCCUUCUUGAUUCACUAAGACCAAGUAAUGCUGAUUCAAGUUUUAUUUUUAUCAUGAUAUCAAGAUGAUUGAGAUAUUGUGGUCUUUAGUUCUAUUUGGAGAGAUUCCUGGGAUUUAUGAGGUUAAAGUGUCUCAGUUUUAACAGAAGGCCUGAAGGGGAUUCUUUAAUAAGAUUGGUUUACUGUAUAAUUUGUAGAAAAAGGUCACAUUAUCAGCUCCUCCUGAUCGGCAAAACCAUAUGAAUGUUAUAAUAAAAAAAAGUGUUAAAACGGUCUGUUAAAAAUGCUCGUCUGACAACAUACGCACAUCAAUCUGCAAGUUGAUAUCAAAUUCAUGACAAAUGGGUUUUGCUUUUUGGAGAUGGAUUUAAAAAAAAUCGGUCGGGUGAUUAUAAGCUUUUUCUUUUAAAAAUGUCCCGUGAAAAUAAAACAAUUAAGGAAGAGAUGUCAUUCUUUGUAAAUACAAUUCUUUACUGAUAUCAGGCAUCCAGAGAAAUGAUAUAACACAACAGUGGUAUGAAUGCUAGUGUGCUAUCGUCCAUUAUUUAAUGCAAAAAGAAGCAUUUCGACCCCAGUAAAUGGUGUGAAUGUCUUCUCUCUGCUUUUUUAAAUAUCAAAUAACUCACGCCGGUUGGAUCUACUUGUUUCCACGGGCACUGUGUCCCCAAAAGAAGCAUCUCUUUGUGUGGACUCUCAAAAGAGCUCCCUGGUGCCCAGUUAAGCUACGACAGCGCCGCUUGUCAAUACUCGUGUUUACGUUCGCGCUCGGCUGAGACGCAGUUUGGUGAUUCUGAGGCUGAGGGGCUGAAUCCUCGUGUCACUCGUAACAUCCGGCGAGUGGCUCGGGUCCCGCGGACUGGGACGGGCAAUUUAUUCAACACCGUCUUUGUGGAGUUCAUUGGGUUUUUUUUUUCUUUCUCUGUGAUGAUCGCUUUUACCUGUCUUACGUCUUAUUGACUAUUUGCCUCAUACGUCAGCGGUUAAAUGAAAAGUAGUCACAAAAGCCUCGAAGAAUAAUCCCCCAAAUCUGUAGUUUUGCAGCGUCACUCAUUUGGUUCGGUCUCAAAGCUCCAUCAUCGUCGUCUUCGUCAGACAUCCGUCUCCCUGUUGGAAAGUUGGAAACAAGCCCUUGAGGAUGGUUUUACAUUUUAUUCAGAGCGCAUUUAACCGCGAGGGUUCAGGCCCAGAACAAAAGGAAUAGAAACCAAGUGCUAUGAGUGAGUGUCGUGCUGCUAAAUCAUUACCUAUCCAAAGUGCUGAUGCAGAGGUGUGUUUUCGCUUUGCCGCUAAAGAGACGGAGGUUUUUUCUCAGGAGUUUUUUGCAACAAAAAGUGAGAUCAGGUCAGAAUAUAAGACGUGCAUUUGUCGGAUGACUCAACGCGUGUCCGCUGUAGUGUGAGCAACAGUUUGCCAACACGUUGUGUUUAAAGAUUGCUCGUCUGCAGGGGAAAUGCUACGAGCCUCGAGGCCCCUCUAACAUGAGUGAAGACCCUCUGGGCGCCGGUUAACUGUCUGAAUGGACACCUUUUUCAAAUGCUUGAUUCAGCGAGGGAGGUUCUCUCCACCAGUUAAUUAAGGCUGCUCGUCUUCCCUGCUCUCCACGUCCGCCACGGACAGACGAUGCGUGUGUCUUGCUGAUCCGCGGUUUGGUACGGUCGCCGUUGGAGACGCGUCGAGAUGGAGCACAUGCCACAUCAAAGCAUCCGAGCCGACCGAGAUGCAGAUGGACUUUGUGUCCCUUCAUUAAGCAUGCGCCGAGCCUCCUGGCUGCGGUUCCCCCUUUGCCGCUGACGAAAGGGACCCGGGGCCUCUUAACCAGCUGUAGGCGGAGCCCGUUUGUGACAAAUGGCCAAAGACGUCCACGUCUCUCAAUCAAUAAUCCCGGCUGUGCCUCCCUCACUAACCGCUCAUUUCCUGUGUCUUUCUCUAUUUCUCUUCCACUUUGUCUCCAACUUGCUCUUCUGUCUCAGACACACACACACACACACACACACACACACACAUGUACGCAUAAGUGUAAGGAUGGGAUCUGGGUGCCAUGACAACAGGGCACAUCAGAAUCCAAUUAAAUGGAACUUCCUCCCACUUCAGCAGACCGACUAAUAACUUCCUCCCACUAUCUCCCCCCCUUUGCAUGAAAAUAACUUUCAGAUGUUUAAGUCAUUCACAUCCGCGCUCUCGUAGCGUUGAUAAGAUUAUUCCGUCAAACUGGUGGAGGGAACAGGGGGGCGCGGGGGGGGGGGGGGUCGAAUACGAUCAGAAUGAACAAGUGGUACGAUGCAGCACAGAUGCCAUUUCUCUGGACGUAACGGAUCGAAACGUGAACACGUCCGUAACUGCAUAAUCGCACCACAUGUUGAUGAAGGAAUGGUGAAACCUCCACAUGCUAAAUGCUACGAGCGGCUUUCAACUUGGACCUCGUGCCACAAAUGAGACACCAUCUUUUUAUUUGCUCGACUUCGCGACCACGUCUCACCGUCUGGAGGCAGUUUUACACUCAUUCCAUCAUUGAACCGGCAGUGUUUUCUUGAUCGGGGAAAUCUAAUAAUCUUUAUUAUGUUUUCAUUAGUGUGGAAUCGGCUGCUGCACUUUGCGCUCAGAGGCCACCGUGUUUCAUGGCGAAUCAGCGCCCAUCAUGCAGCGACCGAAUGCACGACAUGUGGACAAAACCUGCAGCUGCAUCUCAACAUCAGAGUGACAGUUGUUAGCAAUGACACAUUUCACAUCUGCAAUCAUGAAUAGUCAUUUUCAUAUCCCUGGAUUUCCAACACAUUGUGCUCAUCACACAUGCAGCCCCUGAGACAAAGCCGUGCCUUUUUCUCUCAUAAACCCCUUUAAAAGCAUCACGCGUCGUGCCGGACGGUACACGUUACAAACCCGUGAUCUACGACGCGCUGUGGCACCGCCGACGUCCCGGAGACCCGGGCUUUGUGUCGCUGUCGUUGCAGGGCAUGCAUCUGCAGAACCCCAUCUGCUGCUGGGCUCCCACAGUGUGCUAAACGGAGUGGGCAUCAUCAAUCACUGCCACCUCCACAUGGGCACUGCCAAGCCCCCCGAGAGAUAGAGAGAGAGAGAGAGAGAGGCCCCCCGCCUCCAGUGAGAAGCAGCUUACACAUAACACAUCCGAGAGGAUGGCCCGGUAAUGUCCCUGAAGGGCUGCCUCCACGCUGGGCUCAGUGACUGCUGAGGGGGGGUUGGGGGCUAGCGGCAGCCCACCGCCGCAGGACUGCACACACGAGGCCGAACGUCGCAUCAACGCCGCGGCGAGCCCCGGGAGGAUUGAGGGACCAGGCCCACCACCACAAUUAAAAGGAAAAUGAUUAGCAAUUAGCCUGCCAGAGAGAAAUAAGACAACGUUGCUGCUGCUGUAGACCCAUCGUGUGAUGGGGGGGGGGUGAUGUGUAUUGUGUUGGAGAUAGUGAAGUGCACUCCAUGUGCAGAUGAGUGUGCGUUGCCCACGGGGCUCAGCAGGGUUUGUGCCUCCCACGCCACGCCGCACAAACCCACGCACUCCUCUCGUCUGAGCCAGGAGGGGGGGGGGGUGGGGGGGUAGCGAGGUGGUCUCUUUGGUUUUGGCGGCGGGCCGUCGGCCCUCGGCAACCGCCGCGCUUCUCUGCUGACAAUCCUGCGCUCGGUCGGCGGGAUGUUCCAGUCACGGGGUCACGGGGUCACCGUUGGGCUCUGGAUCCGUUUUGCCGUGUUUUGGCCGCGUGGACGCUCGUCCAACGCGGACUCGGAGUGACUUUUAUAAAUAGUAAAAUAAAUCAAAAGGCUGACAUGAUAAAAUCCUCUGACAAUUGAAUGAUGAAUUUGCUCUCCCGUACCCGAGUGUGCUUCGGAUCGCCUGGAGGUUAUUGCUGUGUAUUUUAUUCACCGCGGGUCAUUCAUCACCUGGGCCCAUUAUCAGCCACAGUCUCCCAUGAAGAGAGGGAGAGAGGGGGAGAGAGGGGGAGAGAGGGGGAGAGAGCGUAAAUGCGAGUUGUAUUUCUGUGUGUGAGAGUAAAGAUAACUCUUUAUGAUUUGUGGUCUAAAACAGAGAUGAUGAAGCUGAAUGCCCUAAAAAAAAGCAUAUUUUCUGCUAAGAAAAUUGAAUAAAUGCUACUGUUGCUCAGCAGAUGAAACCUGCCAUGGAUGUUAUAUGUGAGGAUGUGACGAAACACAGGACGACAAAGCCGAGCUCACGCGGCACAAGAACAACCGAAGGCUGUAAAAGUCCGAGAAAGACGUCUGAAAACAGAAGAAGGCGCGACCCCCACGGUGCUAUUAAUUAAAGAAACUUGCAGUCUGCCGAUGCAGCACAAUAUGAAAUGAGCGGAAUAUUGUGAUAUUUUGCCGAAAUGACUCAAGAUCUGUAAACAUGAAUAAUAACUGUCAUCUUCUUUGGAUUCCCACCUAAUUGUGAGACCACCUGCUGAUGCUGACACCGGAGAGACACGCAGCUGCACGCAGCCCUCAGACAAUGCCUGGCUGGUUUUCUUAUGAACGCAUUCAAACGGCUCCUCCAUCAGUUGCUCUGGCGGAGCCGCAGUGUGAAGCCCGACACCCUUUUCGCCUGGAAUCCUCCCGAGCAGCCUGGAAGAUUUAAAGAAUGCAUAUUCAUAAGUGAUAAUCACGGCACAGGCUCCAACAAAUUCACACACGGGGAACUUUUCUCAUGUACACAACUGCUUUACUCAACAGUCUACUGAGCUAAUUGUGUAUGUGAGGAAUAUUCCUGCUGUGAUUCUGAGGUCAAUGACCUUCGUGCACCUCACCACGGCGAGCGGAACACAUGUGCUCGUUUGCUGGGCCGAUGAGUUUGAACCUGAGCGUGAAAUAAGGCUUUAGACAAAAGGUGCAACAAACACGCGGCGAACAACCAUGCGACAAAGCGGCGGACGUCCCUGCAGACGUCUCACUCGGGCUUGUUUUCUUUGAGCUCGCUGCCGUUUACUUCUCAUCCGUCUGUCAAGAGGGAGAGUUGCAGCAGAUCGGCGGCGGCGGCGCCGCCUUUGUCUCGUAAAUCCAACUUCCUGACAUCCGCGGCACUGCGGAGGGUUGUUGCUCGACAGAAAUACGCUCCUUUUUGUUCCUCGCUUCCUGACAACAAAGCAAACUCCGCAUCAGAAGCGCAAAGGGUGCGCCUUGAAGUAGGAGCUAUAUAUAGAAGUCUUGUAAGUCGGGCAUGAAUUAACACGGAGCGAGCUGUUGACUUGGAACAUUUCAAACACCCUGAGAAAAACGAUGAUGUUGGCGACGGCAGGGGAGAGGAUUCAUUAUGGAGGAGUGAGCCAAUAUGCUGCGCCGGACUAACGGAGCUCGGCCACGUUGUGGCGGCACGUUAGAACAGAUGGAAGAAAAUAAAUGCACUUUUCUUGUGAGUGAAACAAUUAAUACUCCUGCUUGUCUGAUAUUGCUUUCGAGUUGAAAAUGAUUCCCCUUCAAACUAAACUCGUAUUUUGGAGCAAAAAUGAAAAGUUUUUUCACAAUCAAUACGUAAUAGCCUGAGAUUUAAAAAUACUGUGCCGGUACACCGCACAGUCUGAUGCCGGAUCAAUAGCAAAAUGCAUCUGGUUCACAGCAGGGGAGAUGGAGCAUGGAUCAAUAAUAAGCAAAUUUCCAGGAAUUGCGAGAGGUAUUGACUAUUUAAUCAGCCGUUUCUCUCAAAAGGUGCAUCUACGGCUCCUGAUGCAGAAACGCCGAUGGGCCUUUGUGAUGAACUCAGACUGCAGCGGGCAGACGGGCGGGUAGAAGUCGCACGUAGAGCAUCGCGGUCACAGCGGCUUUCCUUUGGACCUCGUUUAUAAUAACUUGUGUUGCACGAAUGUAGACCGAAGGAUAACCGUGAUGAUGUCAUAUAUGUUUCUUAUUGCCAAAAAAAUCCUUUUAAAAGACCAAAAUCUUUCAUGAAUGAAAGUAGUCUGUUGCCCCGGGAUACACGUUGCGUCACAUGACGGACUUGGGCACCGCGGUCUAUUUUACACACUGUACACACCGCA
Gasterosteus aculeatus aculeatus (three-spined stickleback) is the source of this 16171-nucleotide long non-coding RNA. Lineage: Eukaryota; Metazoa; Chordata; Actinopteri; Perciformes; Gasterosteidae. The record is from Ensembl.